This is a long non-coding RNA of Centrocercus urophasianus (Greater sage-grouse), 3434 nucleotides long. RefSeq lists it as uncharacterized. NCBI's taxonomy places the organism in Eukaryota, Metazoa, Chordata, Aves, Galliformes, Phasianidae. The transcript has 2 exons. The record is from RefSeq and is a predicted model, not a curated record.
UUCAUCAAUAUUUUCAUCAAUAUUUUCAUCAAUAUUUUCAGAUGCUUUCCAGCAUAUCCUUCAUUCAGAAGGUCCUUACAGGGAGCUGGAAACACAAUGUUCCAGUCUGCUGCUGUGACCUCUGCAAGAGCCCACGGCGCAGCAGUCAUGCCUCAGUGGCAGCACAUGUACUGUAGAUGUCACUGAAUUCUAACAGCACUUCUCGAAACACGGCCUGCCGUGUAAUCCUGGCAGUAAUCUAGUGCUACAUUAAAUGCAUUGUUGUCAGUCGAGAAGUAUUAUAGGCCUCUAAAUAUACAGCUGGAUACGCACACAAUAUUAAAUAGCAUUGCACAUAGAGUUCUGCUCUGAGGAUGAAUACCAGCCUAUGUACUUUCAACAACAGACUGCAUUGUGAAGAGCCAAAUUGGUUAUUUCUUUGGCUUCACUGAUGUCAACGAAGUGAGACUUGACUCUGCCCUUCAAUAGCCUGAAUAAGUCAUUAGGCAAAUUAUUGGUGCACUUUGUUUAGAAGCCUGGAUCCUGCAGACGCAUUCUGAGUCAAGCAACUGGUGGUUGCAACAACCUUCGUCAAACGAAUACAGAGCUGAGAUUCAGCCCUGUCAUCUGCUCCUUCAAACUGUCCUGAAUAGAAAGAAAAGCUAACUGUCAGCUCCAAGUCAAUGCAAAACUCACUGGAUGAGGUUCUGAAGACCUGAGAGCAGACAAUCACAGUGUUUCCUGGCAGGUGUUACAAGCUAGGGUCUUUGACUAUGUGCUGCAUUCAUUCUGUUUUCCUAGCAGGAAAAAAAAAAAUCACAACAGGAUGAAGAAUGGCAACUGCAUUGUGCCUCCGGAGCACUAAGCACCGCCACCACACACACAGCUAUUGACAAGGCACAUCGCCAGAACUGCCCAUCAGCCUUCUGAGACACAAAAGUAUAAACAGCCAUGCCAGUCCUCUACAGUGAUGAGUGAGAAGAGCUGAAGAUGACGUUGCUACUGCCAAAAACUGUUUAAAGCACACACACUAAAAAAAGGAUCAUACAUUUCAUCACUAGCCGCAGGAGGAGUGCUACCCUUGACUUGGUUGGACCUCUUAAUAGCACUGACAUCAGUUUUGAGUACUCUGAUCCAGUUCACGUUUGAUGAUGUCUAUGGGAAAAAAAGAAAAGAAAAGCAGCAGUCCCACAAUUGAAGCUCUAUGGAAUUCACUUCUCCCUAACAAUCUGCAUCACACAACUGCUCUCAGAGGUGACUCCAGUUGCCAUCCAAGUCACCCGCCCACCAUCAGCAAUUCCUAAGCCAUUAUACUCAGUUUGGGCCUUCUCAGGAUCUUAACUGUCUCAUGAACUAUUUUAAUCAAUUUACAGUGUUCAUUAAUACACACCGACGUCAUCAGGGGACACAGGAAUCAGCAGUUCAAGCAUGAACAUCUUCGAGAAGGCGCAGACUGAAAGGCCAAGAGUUGUCUCCAUGGCGCCAGGUGUGACUUACUGAGAUCACCAUUUUUGCCUUGAGCUGUUACCAGUUCUAAUGCCCUCCACAAAGAGAAGCAUGAGAGGCGCGAGUUCAGACUGCAGACAGAACUGAAGAGGCUUCAAGACAUCCCUCUGAGUUACGUAAACACACGAGCGGAGUAAAUCCAGCACAGCCACAUGCAGCUGCAUUAUGGAAAACAAGAAGCACAUAAUCCUGCAUCUUCCUUUUUCUCCUGGAUGGCCCCAAAGUGCUCUGGGAACAUCAUUUAAGCCACACACAAAACCUGAGAAUUCAGUACGAUGAAGUGAGCCCUCGUUUGCCCAGUUCCCACGAGCAAUCCCACCACGCCCAGGGAAACACAGCACACAGUGAACCGGCUGCUUAGCCUUGCAAUCGAGUGCCCUGGUUUUGCAGGAUGUCCCAGUCCCUGUGUUUCACCCUGCCGCCCAGCAGCCAAGCCCAGCGAGAUCACGGUCCAGAAAAGACACCCAGGUGGGAAAGCUGCCCUUCUGACCCAACCUGCUCAGCUGGCCAGGCCUGCACACAGCCUGCUGGCCCGAGCCUCCCUCCGUGCUUGUGUUCUCAUCCUGACUGAAAAACUUUAUGAAAUGGUACAGAUUAUUAGUAGUAUUUAAUAUUAAUUAGUGCUGUGCAAUGCACUGGAGACCUAAAGCUAAUGGUAGCCACAGCAGAGGUCACUCAGCUGCUCUCAUUAAGGCUCUGCAGCCCACAAAACACGUAACCCUGCCAACUGAACCUGUCAGUUGGUACAGGUUUCUUCUUUCACUACAUUUAUAUGAAGCAGUACUGAGAGACGAGUUCAUCACUCCCCAACAGAAAUGCAACAUGCAUCACCAGCAAACAGACGAGUGAAAUUGAAAAUCCAGUGGGACUGAUCAGAAAUUACGCUUUCCUAGAUGCUGGCAGGAAUUCAUCAGAAACUUGCAGAGGAAGGUAAUCUAGGACAGCUCUCUCCAACUGCUGUUCAAACACAAGCCUUAAAUUCCUGAGCAGGGCAAGAACACCAAAAAACUCCAAUCACUGAUCUGGCAACCACAACAGCAGGUCUUUGUGCUCUCUCUAUCCAAUGCUGCACCGAAGGUCUCACCCGUAUCUGCAGAAACUGAAAAGUCACUGUAUGACGUACAGGAGCAGAACUGAACACAGCCCCUGCUUAUUCUUCCAGUCCUCUUCUGUUAAAACAGUGUGUUUGUAUUAUGCUACAAAGCAAUGAUGUGUCUGCACAAUCAGGCUCCCUUUUCAAUUACUGGCUAAUUAUUUCAACGCUGCAAAACAGAAAACCGAGUUGCCUUUCCAGCUCCGCUGAACUUCUUGAUAAAUUAUUCUCAAAGAACAAAUGAGAUUUCUCAUUUCAGUGGUAGUCCAAUGUGAACAAAACUUACUCCUUCCAGCUCAGAACCUCUAACACUCUUUUAUUUUAGGUCCUAUUAGAAAUAAAAAGGUGCCAGCAUUCUACCUGGCACUCAAGAAAGCCUUUGAAGCGUGACGCCUGCAACGUCAGAAGAUAAGUAACUGCAGAACUUUGUGCAGAUGAACAAAUGCUUCAAGCCAGCAAGGAAAACUUCAGCAACACUCAGGCAGGGCCACAGCUCUGAAUACACUCCAGUAAGUGAUGCUGCUUCAAACCAGGAUGUGCCUGUACACAGGGCUGGGAGCCUGAGAUGGUGACCUUAAAUACACACACGGAAGAUUAACAUCCACUCUCUAUAUGCUGAAAAAGAAUAGGAAAAGAAAUGCAGCACGCUUGUCAGAUUUCACUGUACUGUUUUGGACAGUCUUUCUGAACACUCACUUCUUCAACUUAAGUUUGCUGUGCUUGGCAAUCUCCUUUGUGUCUUUUGCAACACUGCACACACACAAAUGGCCUGUGGUUUCAUGCUUUGCUUCCCAUUUAAAACUAACACUUAAACAGUAGCUUUAAUUUUGUUAAAUAAAAGCUUUUUUUUCCUGAA